AGAGUUUGAUCCUGGCUCAGGAUGAACGCUAGCGACAGGCCUAACACAUGCAAGUCGAGGGGCAACAUGGUAUCAGCUUGCUGAUACUGAUGGCGACCGGCGCACGGGUGAGUAACGCGUAUGUAAUCUACCUGUAACAGAGGGAUAACCCGGAGAAAUCCGGACUAAUACCUCAUAGCACAUAUUAUUCGCAUGAAUUUUAUGUUAAAGAGACUCGGUUACAGAUGAACAUGCGUUCCAUUAGCUAGUUGGCGGGGUUACGGCCCACCAAGGCAACGAUGGAUAGGGGUUCUGAGAGGAAGGUCCCCCACACUGGUACUGAGACACGGACCAGACUCCUACGGGAGGCAGCAGUGAGGAAUAUUGGUCAAUGGGCGAAAGCCUGAACCAGCCAAGUCGCGUGGAGGAAGACGGCCCUACGGGUUGUAAACUCCUUUUACCUGGGAAUAACGGGCGCUACGUGUAGCGCUGUGCAAGUACCGGGAGAAUAAGCAUCGGCUAAUUCCGUGCCAGCAGCCGCGGUAAUACGGAAGAUGCGAGCGUUAUCCGGAUUUAUUGGGUUUAAAGGGUGCGUAGGCGGAAGAAUAAGUCAGCGGUGAAAUGCUUCAGCUCAACUGGAGAAUUGCCGAUGAAACUGUUUUUCUAGAGUAUAAAAGAGGUAUGCGGAAUGCGUGGUGUAGCGGUGAAAUGCAUAGAUAUCACGCAGAACCCCGAUUGCGAAGGCAGCAUACUGGGCUAUAACUGACGCUGAAGCACGAAAGCGUGGGUAUCGAACAGGAUUAGAUACCCUGGUAGUCCACGCCGUAAACGAUGAAUACUAACUGUUUGCGAUAUAAUGUAAGCGGUACAGCGAAAGCGUUAAGUAUUCCACCUGGGGAGUACGCCGGCAACGGUGAAACUCAAAGGAAUUGACGGGGGCCCGCACAAGCG
This 930-nucleotide ribosomal RNA is filed under the name human gut metagenome. RNAcentral's name for it is "bacterial SSU rRNA". It matches the Rfam family "Bacterial small subunit ribosomal RNA", at positions 8 to 931 of the family's 1533-position model. The record is from RNAcentral.